GAAGUUUGACUGACAAUCGCCGGUGGUUAUACGCCACGGGAGGAAAGUCCGGGCUCCACAGGGCAGGAUGCUGGAUAACGUCCAGUCAACGCGAGUUGAAGGAAAGUGCCACAGAAAUGGACCGCCGAUGGCCUGCUUCUCUAGGGAAGCAGUGCACAGGCAAGGGUGGAACCGUGGUGUAAGAGACCACGAGAGACUAUGGUGACAUAGCCUCUGGUAAACCCCAUCUGGAGCAAGACCUAAGAGGACGUGGGUGCAGGCAACUGCACCACCUUUAGCCCGAAGGGCGUCCGGGUUGGUCGCUGAAGCCAUGCAGCAAUGUAUGGCGUAGAUAGAUGAUUGUCGCUUCAAUGGCGGGAGGGGAGACCCGUUACUACCGCCCGAAGUACAGAACCCGGCUUACGGAAAGCUUUCGAC
This 417-nucleotide RNase P RNA is filed under the name Gorillibacterium sp. RNAcentral describes it as "Bacterial RNase P class A". It matches the Rfam family "Bacterial RNase P class A". Rfam says of the family: Ribonuclease P (RNase P) is a ubiquitous endoribonuclease, found in archaea, bacteria and eukarya as well as chloroplasts and mitochondria. Its best characterised activity is the generation of mature 5'-ends of tRNAs by cleaving the 5'-leader elements of precursor-tRNAs. Cellular RNase Ps are ribonucleoproteins. The record is from Rfam by way of RNAcentral. Lineage: Bacteria; Bacillati; Bacillota; Bacilli; Caryophanales; Paenibacillaceae.